RNAcentral lists this ribosomal RNA (208 nucleotides) under uncultured bacterium. Its description in RNAcentral is "partial 16S ribosomal RNA". It matches the Rfam family "Bacterial small subunit ribosomal RNA", at positions 568 to 774 of the family's 1533-position model. The record is from RNAcentral.
UGCGUAGGCGGCCCUGUGUGUCAGAGGUGAAAUCCCACGGCUCAACCGUGGAAUUGCCUUUGAAACUGCAGGGCUUGAGUCCGAGAGGGGAAGGUGGAAUUCCUGGUGUAACGGUGAAAUGUGCAGAUAUCAGGAAGAACCACCCGUGGCGAAGGCGGCCUUCUGGCUCGGAACUGACGCUGAGGCACGAAAGCUAGGGUAUCGAACG